RNAcentral lists this ribosomal RNA (253 nucleotides) under uncultured bacterium. RNAcentral's name for it is "partial 16S ribosomal RNA". It matches the Rfam family "Archaeal small subunit ribosomal RNA", at positions 474 to 727 of the family's 1478-position model. The record is from RNAcentral.
UACCCGCAGCACAAGUGGUGGUCAUUAUUAUGGGGCCUAAAGCGUCCGUAGCUGGCUUGUUAGAUGCCUGGGUAAAUCGAUGCGCUCAACGUAUCGAACACCGGGUAGACCGGCAAGCUUGGGACCGGGAGAGGCGUGAGCUACUCGAGGGGUAGGGGUAAAAUCCUGUAAUCCUUCAGGGAGGACCAGUGGCGAAGGCGUCACGCUAGAACGGCUCCGACAGUGAGGGACGAAGCCCUGGGGCGCAAACCGG